UACGUAGGGUGCAAGCGUUGUCCGGAAUUAUUGGGCGUAAAGGGCUCGUAGGCGGUCCAUCGCGUCGGGUGUGAAAAGCUGGGGCUUAACCCCAGUCCUGCUUCCGAUACGGGUGGACUAGAGGUAGGCAGGGGAGAACGGAAUUCCUGGUGUAGCGGUGAAAUGCGCAGAUAUCAGGAGGAACACCGGUGGCGAAGGCGGUUCUCUGGGCCUUACCUGACGCUGAGGAGCGAAAGCAUGGGGAGCAAACAGG
RNAcentral lists this ribosomal RNA (253 nucleotides) under uncultured bacterium. Its description in RNAcentral is "partial 16S ribosomal RNA". It matches the Rfam family "Bacterial small subunit ribosomal RNA", at positions 524 to 776 of the family's 1533-position model. The record is from RNAcentral.